GUGCUCACUUCAGCAGCUCGUAUAUCAAAUCGGAAAGAGACAGAAAAGAUUAGCAUGAGCGCUGCACAAGAAUCACAGGCAAAGUCAGGAAGCACUCCAUAAUUGU
This is a small nuclear RNA of Echinops telfairi (small Madagascar hedgehog), 106 nucleotides long. The record is from RefSeq and is a predicted model, not a curated record. Lineage: Eukaryota; Metazoa; Chordata; Mammalia; Afrosoricida; Tenrecidae.